RNAcentral lists this ribosomal RNA (319 nucleotides) under Pseudodon inoscularis. RNAcentral describes it as "partial 16S large subunit ribosomal RNA". The stretch from base 61 to 319 matches the Rfam family "Bacterial large subunit ribosomal RNA", at positions 2047 to 2540 of the family's 2925-position model. Lineage: Eukaryota; Metazoa; Mollusca; Bivalvia; Unionida; Unionidae. The record is from RNAcentral.
GGAGGCCAGUGAAUGGCAACACUAAGAACACCUAUACACCCUGCGUUAAAAGAACUUUUCGUCUAAGUGAAAAGACUUAGAUAAUUGUAGGAAGACGAAAAGACCCCGCGGAGCUUUACUUUCUCUGGCACAAACAUCCAUUAAUACAAGUGCAAGAAGUUUGAUUGGGGCAAUCUCGGAACCACCAAACUUCCGACACUUUAAGAAAAAUAUCAAAAACUUACUACGGACAAGACAGAAGCUACCCCGGGGAUAACAGCGUUAUCCAACUUGAGAGUACACAUCGAAAGUUGGGUUUGCGACCUCGAUGUUGGCUUAA